GAUGAACGUUGGCGGCGUGGAUUACGCAUGCAAGUCGAACGGAUCCGGCUUCGCUUUCUGGCUGAUUAUAACGUAGAGGAGGAGACGUGAACCAACCCCGAGGUUGGUUAUUGACACGGGAAAAUGCGGGUAAUCCCCAACUGCUUGACCACCCCGGCAUCGUCAUUUCACCUGAUCCUUCCUCCGCAUUUUUACGGGUAUGAGAGGGGUCCGCUACUUGGUGGGGUUACGGCGCACCAAUGCUGUAAUGAGGACACGGUGUGCAACCGUGUUGGGGCACUGAGCGACUGAAACGGUGCUGAGACUCUUACGGGACUCCUCCGUGAAGAAUCUUCGGCAUUGGUCGCACAAUUGAGGCAACCACGCCCCACGGACGACGAAGGACUGCAGAAUGGUUUCGCCUGUCAAGGGGCUAGAAGCACCGACCAUGACCGAGUACUUGACUAAGAACCCCCUCCUUACUUCCCGCCAGCCGCCGUAAUUCUACCCGUGCGAAGAGUUUUUUCAUUCUUUGCUGUUUGUGCACGUAUAGGCUGAUGCUCGCUUCAUAACAUGUAAAACCCCAGAUCAAACUGUGGGACUGCUUUGAAACCUAUCGAGGGAGAGUACAUGAGGGGAUCGUGGAAUUCCUAUUGUACGGNGAAUUCCGUAGAUUCAGAAGGAACCCCCGUGGCGAAAGCUGAUCUCUGGACUGUUCUGACACUGAACUCAAAGCUUGGGAGCAAACAGGAUUACUACGCUGGUAGUCCUAGCCGGAACGAUGACUACUAGCUAGUGGGCUUGUCGAUACCCUGGCUGCGCUUAUGAAACUAUAAUAUUCCAGCUGGGCGAUACUGCGCAAGAAUAAU
Molecule: ribosomal RNA, 848 nt
Filed under: uncultured bacterium
Lineage: Bacteria
Description: bacterial SSU rRNA
Rfam family: Bacterial small subunit ribosomal RNA
Source: RNAcentral